AGUUUGAUCCUGCUUCAGAUUGAAACGCUGGCGGCAGGCCUAACACAUGCAAGUCGAACGGUAACAGGAAGAAGCUUGCUUCUUUGCUGACGAGUGGCGGACGGGUGAGUAAUGUCUGGGAAACUGCCUGAUGGAGGGGGAUAACUACUGGAAACGGUAGCUAAUACCGCAUAACGUCGCAAGACCAAAGAGGGGGACCUUCGGGCCUCUUGCCAUCGGAUGUGCCCAGAUGGGAUUAGCUUGUUGGUGGGGUAACGGCUCACCAAGGCGACGAUCCCUAGCUGGUCUGAGAGGAUGACCAGCCACACUGGAACUGAGACACGGUCCAGACUCCUACGGGAGGCAGCAGUGGGGAAUAUUGCACAAUGGGCGCAAGCCUGAUGCAGCCAUGCCGCGUGUAUGAAGAAGGCCUUCGGGUUGUAAAGUACUUUCAGCGGGGAGGAAGGGAGUAAAGUUAAUACCUUUGCUCAUUGACGUUACCCGCAGAAGAAGCACCGGCUAACUCCGUGCCAGCAGCCGCGGUAAUACGGAGGGUGCAAGCGUUAAUCGGAAUUACUGGGCGUAAAGCGCACGCAGGCGGUUUGUUAAGUCAGAUGUGAAAUCCCCGGGCUCAACCUGGGAACUGCAUCUGAUACUGGCAAGCUUGAGUCUCGUAGAGGGGGGUAGAAUUCCAGGUGUAGCGGUGAAAUGCGUAGAGAUCUGGAGGAAUACCGGUGGCGAAGGCGGCCCCCUGGACGAAGACUGACGCUCAGGUGCGAAAGCGUGGGGAGCAAACAGGAUUAGAUACCCUGGUAGUCCACGCCGUAAACGAUGUCGACUUGGAGGUUGUGCCCUUGAGGCGUGGCUUCCGGAGCUAACGCGUUAAGUCGACCGCCUGGGGAGUACGGCCGCAAGGUUAAAACUCAAAUGAAUUGACGGGGGCCUGCACAAGCGGUGGAGCAUGUGGUUUAAUUCGAUGCAACGCGAAGAACCUUACCUGGUCUUGACAUCCACGGAAGUUUUCAGAGAUGAGAAUGUGCCUUCGGGAACCGUGAGACAGGUGCUGCAUGGCUGUCGUCAGCUCGUGUUGUGAAAUGUUGGGUUAAGUCCCGCAACGAGCGCAACCCUUAUCCUUUGUUGCCAGCGGUCCGGCCGGGAACUCAAAGGAGACUGCCAGUGAUAAACUGGAGGAAGGUGGGGAUGACGUCAAGUCAUCAUGGCCCUUACGACCAGGGCUACACACGUGCUACAAUGGCGCAUACAAAGAGAAGCGACCUCGCGAGAGCAAGCGGACCUCAUAAAGUGCGUCGUAGUCCGGAUUGGAGUCUGCAACUCGACUCCAUGAAGUCGGAAUCGCUAGUAAUCGUGGAUCAGAAUGCCACGGUGAAUACGUUCCCGGGCCUUGUACACACCGCCCGUCACACCAUGGGAGUGGGUUGCAAAAGAAGUAGGUAGCUUAACCUUCGGGAGGGCGCUUACCACUUUGUGAUUCAUGACUGGGGUGAAGUC
This 1488-nucleotide ribosomal RNA is filed under the name uncultured bacterium. RNAcentral's name for it is "bacterial SSU rRNA". It matches the Rfam family "Bacterial small subunit ribosomal RNA". The record is from RNAcentral.